RNAcentral lists this ribosomal RNA (476 nucleotides) under uncultured organism. RNAcentral's name for it is "partial 16S ribosomal RNA". It matches the Rfam family "Bacterial small subunit ribosomal RNA", at positions 329 to 797 of the family's 1533-position model. The record is from RNAcentral.
ACGUACACUCCUGCGGGAGGCAGCAGUGGGGAAUUUUGGACAAUGGGCGAAAGCCUGAUCCAGCCAUGCCGCGUGCAGGAUGAAGGCCUUCGGGUUGUAAACUGCUUUUGUACGGAACGAAACGGCCUUUUCUAAUAAAGAGGGCUAAUGACGGUACCGUAAGAAUAAGCACCGGCUAACUACGUGCCAGCAGCCGCGGUAAUACGUAGGGUGCAAGCGUUAAUCGGAAUUACUGGGCGUAAAGCGUGCGCAGGCGGUUAUGUAAGACAGUUGUGAAACCCCCGGGCUCAACCUGGGAACUGCAUCUGAGACUGCAUAGCUAGAGUACGGUAGAGGGGGAUGGAAUUCCGCGUGUAGCAGUGAAAUGCGUAGAUAUGCGGAGGAACACCGAUGGCGAAGGCAAUCCCCUGGACCUGUACUGACGCUCAUGCACGAAAGCGUGGGGAGCAAACAGGAUUAGAUACCCCGGUAGUCCC